GAUGAAGAACGUAGUGAAAUGCGAUAAGUAAUGUGAAUUGCAGAAUUCAGUGAAUCAUCGAAUCUUUGAACGCACAUUGCGCCCGCCAGUAUUCUGGCGGGCAUGCCUGUUCGAGCGUCAUUACAACCCUCAGGCCCCCGGGCCUGGCGUUGGGGAUCGGCGGAGCCCCCCGUGGGCACACGCCGUCCCCCAAAUACAGUGGCGGUCCCGCCGCAGCUUCCAUCGCGUAGUAGCUAACACCUCGCGACUGGAGAGCGGCGCGGCCACGCCGUAAAACACCCAACUCUUCUGAAGUUGACCUCGAAUCAGGUAGGAAUACCCGCUGAACUUAAGCAUAUCAAUAUGCGGAGGA
This 352-nucleotide unclassified non-coding RNA is filed under the name soil metagenome. RNAcentral's name for it is "partial contains 5.8S ribosomal RNA, internal transcribed spacer 2, and large subunit ribosomal RNA". The stretch from base 1 to 120 matches the Rfam family "5.8S ribosomal RNA", at positions 35 to 154 of the family's 154-position model. The record is from RNAcentral.